UAGCUCAAUAGGUAGAGCAUGAGACUCUCAAUCUUAGGGUCAUGGGUUCAUGCCCCAC
This 58-nucleotide transfer RNA is filed under the name Neotoma lepida (desert woodrat). It matches the Rfam family "tRNA", at positions 8 to 63 of the family's 71-position model. Rfam says of the family: Transfer RNA (tRNA) molecules are approximately 80 nucleotides in length. Their secondary structure includes four short double-helical elements and three loops (D, anti-codon, and T loops). Lineage: Eukaryota; Metazoa; Chordata; Mammalia; Rodentia; Cricetidae. The record is from Rfam by way of RNAcentral.